UAGAGACCAUUAACCAUGUCUAACUUGUGAC
Molecule: non-coding RNA, 31 nt
Filed under: Mus musculus (house mouse)
Lineage: Eukaryota; Metazoa; Chordata; Mammalia; Rodentia; Muridae
Source: RNAcentral